UUUUUUGUUUUUUGUUUUUUUUUUUUCUUUAAAUCGCUUUUCUCGUCGUCUUCUUUUUUUUUUCCGUCUUUUUCCAAAAACAAGGAGAAAUAUUUAGCUGUACAUCUAUUUUUCCUCCGCCGCCUUCUCGCCCGAGUUUGCAGCUCGCAGGGAGGAAACCAAACAAAGGCUAAAAAGCGAAAAAGAAGGGGGGGGGGGGAUCAAAAAGCCCCCGUGCCUUCUCCCCUCGGCUCCCCUAGGAGUACAUCUCCACCUCUCAGCCUUCCCCUCUCAGGGCGAAACUUUUCCUUUUCUUCUUCCUUUAAGGCUUUGUGUGUGGGUAUAUUUUCCUUUUUUUUUUUUUUCCUUUCCCCUCUGUCUCUUUCUCUCUCCGCGUCUUUCUCGCUCUCCUCGGCUCCUCGAUCUCCUUUUGCUCUUUUAUUCGCAAGUUUUGUUGUUGGUGUCCUAAGAAAACUUCCUGUGAUGAUGAUGGUGGUGAUGGUGGUGAUGAUGCAUUUCUCAAAGUUGUGCUGGUGCUGGAGCACUUUGUCCCCUUUGAAACAAGAGUCCCGCCGGAGCCUUCUUGCGAGAGUCACGCUCUGGAUAAGACAUUUUGUUUUCCUCUCUCUCUACCUUUCCUUUAGGCGGUUAGAAAAAAAAAAAAAAAAAAAAGACCCAAAAAAAAAAAAAAAAGAGAAAAAAGUUGAAAUUUCUCGUUACCUCGCGAAUUGUUUCUCUCCCUCUCCCGCUCUCUCGCUCUCUCGCUCGGUUUGUUGUUUUGGUUGUUGGUUUGUUGGUUGGUUGGUUGAUUGUUGGUUGUUGGAUUUUUUUUUUUUUGGUGUUUGUUUUGCUUUUUAUUUUAAUUCCAGCAGUUGGUCGAGGGAGGAGGCGGAGGAGGAGCGCCUUGCUGGAGAGGUGUGGGUAUGUGUGUGUGCAUAUAUGGUAUCCUUUAUACACUAACUCCAGCCGGGAAGUUGGCUGCCGGGCUGGCAGCGCGCACUGGCGGUGCCGGAGUCCCGCCGCUCGCCUCUCCCCGCCUCCCUCUCCCGGGCCGUGCCCGCGCCCUCCCUCC
RNAcentral lists this long non-coding RNA (1051 nucleotides) under Strigops habroptila (Kakapo). RNAcentral describes it as "lncRNA (ENSSHBG00005002062.1)". The record is from RNAcentral. Lineage: Eukaryota; Metazoa; Chordata; Aves; Psittaciformes; Psittacidae.